This 128-nucleotide ribosomal RNA is filed under the name Ochotona princeps (American pika). Lineage: Eukaryota; Metazoa; Chordata; Mammalia; Lagomorpha; Ochotonidae. The record is from RNAcentral.
GUCUACGGCCAUACCACCCUGAACGCACCCGAUCUCGUCUGAUCUCGGAAGCUAAGCAGGGUCGGGCCUGGUUAGUACUUGGAUGGGAGAUUGCAAAUCCUCUUCAUGUCAACCUUGAGUUUCUGACU